Molecule: ribosomal RNA, 468 nt
Filed under: uncultured bacterium
Lineage: Bacteria
Description: partial 16S ribosomal RNA
Rfam family: Bacterial small subunit ribosomal RNA
Source: RNAcentral
GACGAACGCUGGCGGCGUGCUUAACACAUGCAAGGCGAACGGAGAGGACCGGCCUUUGUGUGGUGCGCGAGUGGCGAACGGGAGAGUAACACGUGAGUAACCUGCCCUUGACUGGGGGAUAACUUCAGGAAACUGGGGCUAAUACCGGAUAGGAGCUCCUGCUGCAGGGUGGGGGUUGGAAAGUUUCGGCGGUUGGGGAUGGACUCGCGGCAUAUCAGCUUGUUGGUGGGGUAGUGGCUUACCAAGGCGUUGACGGGUAGCCGGCCUGAGAGGGUGACCGGCCACCUUGGGACUGCGGUACGGCCCAGCCUCCUACGGGCGGCAGCAGUGGGGAAUAUUGCACACUGGGCGGAGGCCUGCCGCAGCCACGCCGCGUGCGGGAUGACGGCCUUCGGGUUGUAAACCGCUUUCGCCUGUGACGAAGCGUGAGUGACGGUAAUGGGUAAAGAAGCACCGGCUAACUACGUG